GGGCUCGUAGCUCGGCUGGUAGAGCAUGUGCGUACAAAGCGCAGGCGGUGUCCGUACGUGGGUUCGAAUCCCACUGAGGCUA
RNAcentral lists this transfer RNA (82 nucleotides) under Echinostoma caproni. It matches the Rfam family "tRNA". From Rfam's summary of the family: Transfer RNA (tRNA) molecules are approximately 80 nucleotides in length. Lineage: Eukaryota; Metazoa; Platyhelminthes; Trematoda; Plagiorchiida; Echinostomatidae. The record is from Rfam by way of RNAcentral.